CGUUAUUCGGAAUCACUGGGCUUACAGGGUGCGUAGGCGGCUCAACAAGUCAGGUGUGAAAGCCCCCGGCUCAACCGGGGAACUGCGCUUGAAACUGUUAGGCUCGAGUCAGCUAGAGGUACACGGAACUUCCAGUGGAGCGGUGAAAUGUGUUGAUAUUGGAAGGAACACCGGAGGCGAAAGCGGUGUACUGGGGCUGGUCUGACGCUGAGGCACGAAAGCCAGGGGAGCGAACGGG
This 238-nucleotide ribosomal RNA is filed under the name uncultured bacterium. RNAcentral's name for it is "partial 16S ribosomal RNA". It matches the Rfam family "Bacterial small subunit ribosomal RNA", at positions 539 to 776 of the family's 1533-position model. The record is from RNAcentral.